This 834-nucleotide long non-coding RNA is filed under the name Lactuca sativa (garden lettuce). RNAcentral describes it as "long non-coding RNA (LSAT_LNC005335)". Lineage: Eukaryota; Viridiplantae; Streptophyta; Magnoliopsida; Asterales; Asteraceae. The record is from RNAcentral.
GGCGAUGCUUCUCUCUACUCCGUUGACAGAAACUUGCCGUCUGUCUUGUCGUCAACAAGUAAAAUUCGAUCUCCACCUGCAAAAACCUAGAUUUUCUACAUCUUUUCGCUUCAUUUAUUACUUGUUCCUUCUUAGUUAUGGAAAUCCCAAUUAACAUGUUUCUCAUUAGGUUAAUUGUUCACUCUACAAUUUCGAAACAUAACAAUCAGAAUUUGAAAAUUGAUCGUGUCACAUCUGUUCCUACAUUGUUUCCUGGUUGUAAGCACAUUAAACAAACUAGUCGAUGGAUGAUCAAUUGGACAAUUUUGUACUUUUUCCCCAUCCAAAAAAGGAAAACAAAUAUACAAGAAUCCAUUUCUUUGCUUGAUUACGUUUCACUUCUCUUUAAUGUUCUUAUUUACUUGAUCUGAAGUAAAACGAAAGAGCCAUGUUAUGCUGAAGCAGACAAAUAGCCCUUGAUUCCAUCUACUUAUCGGAAUCAGGUCAAGAACUUUACCCAAUUGGCUGUUUUUACGCUAAUUGUGAUGUUUCAUUCUUCUUGAUCUUUCCCUUUUCGAUCUGGUAAAUCCUCUCAGCAUCAGGUACAGCUUUGAUUAUGGUUUCCAGCUUUAGAUUUAGUUCUUCAAUCUUCUCUACAAGUCUAUCAUUUGUGAACAUUCCAAUCAUUACAUUUUGAAUUGUUCUCCAGCUUUCCGCCAAUGGUAGAACUAUGAUCACAGCUGACCCAAUUGUACCCCAUGCUAUCGCCACAAUUGCCCAGAAAGUGAAAUAUCCUUUGCUGAAGUCCUCUACAAAAAGUAACAAAUAUAUGUCAAAAAGAGCUUCUAAUGAAAA